RNAcentral lists this ribosomal RNA (465 nucleotides) under uncultured bacterium. RNAcentral's name for it is "partial 16S ribosomal RNA". It matches the Rfam family "Bacterial small subunit ribosomal RNA", at positions 338 to 795 of the family's 1533-position model. The record is from RNAcentral.
ACUACGGGAGGCAGCAGUAGGGAAUCUUCCACAAUGGGCGCACGCCUGAUGGAGCAACACCGCGUGAGUGAAGAAGGGUUUCGGCUCGUAAAGCUCUGUUGUUGGAGAAGAACGUGCGUGAGAGUAACUGUUCACGCAGUGACGGUAUCCAACCAGAAAGUCACGGCUAACUACGUGCCAGCAGCCGCGGUAAUCCGUAGGUUGCAAGCGUUAUCCGGAUUUAUUGGGCGUAAAGCGAGCGCAGGCGGUCGCUUAGGUCUGAUGUGCAAGCCUUCGGCUUAACCGAAGAAGUGCAUUGGAAACCGGGCUACUUGAGUGCAGAAGAGGACAGUGGAACUCCAUGUGUAGCGGUGGAAUGCGUAGAUAUAUGGACGAACACCAGUGGCGAAGGCGGCUGUCUGGUCUGCAACUGACGCUGAGGCUCGAAAGCAUGGGUAGCGAACAGGAUUAGAUACCCUGGUAGUC